RNAcentral lists this ribosomal RNA (745 nucleotides) under uncultured bacterium. RNAcentral describes it as "bacterial SSU rRNA". It matches the Rfam family "Bacterial small subunit ribosomal RNA", at positions 33 to 773 of the family's 1533-position model. The record is from RNAcentral.
ACGCUGGCGGCAGGCCUAACACAUGCAAGUCGAGCGGUAGAGAGAAGCUUGCUUCUCUUGAGAGCGGCGGACGGGUGAGUAAUGCCUAGGAAUCUGCCUGGUAGUGGGGGAUAACGUUCGGAAACGGACGCUAAUACCGCAUACGUCCUACGGGAGAAAGCAGGGGACCUUCGGGCCUUGCGCUAUCAGAUGAGCCUAGGUCGGAUUAGCUAGUUGGUGAGGUAAUGGCUCACCAAGGCGACGAUCCGUAACUGGUCUGAGAGGAUGAUCAGUCACACUGGAACUGAGACACGGUCCAGACUCCUACGGGAGGCAGCAGUGGGGAAUAUUGGAUAAUGGGCGAAAGCCUGAUCCAGCCGUGCCGCGUGUGUGAAGAAGGUCUUCGGAUUGUAAACCACUUUAAGUUGGGGGGAAGGGCAGUUGCCUAAUACGUAACUGUUUUGACGUUACCGACAGAAUAAGCACCGGCUAACUCUGUGCCAGCAGCCGCGGUAAUACAGAGGGUGCAAGCGUUAAUCGGAAUUACUGGGCGUAAAGCGCGCGUAGGUGGUUUGUUAAGUUGGAUGUGAAAUCCCCGGGCUCAACCUGGGAACUGCAUUCAAAACUGACUGACUAGAGUAUGGUAGAGGGUGGUGGAAUUUCCUGCGUAGCGGUGAAAUGCGUAGAUAUAGGAAGGAACACCAGUGGCGAAGGCGACCACCUGGACUAAUACUGACACUGAGGUGCGAAAGCGUGGGGAGCAAAC